RNAcentral lists this unclassified non-coding RNA (182 nucleotides) under uncultured Sordariomycetes. RNAcentral describes it as "sequence contains ITS2". The record is from RNAcentral. Lineage: Eukaryota; Fungi; Ascomycota; Sordariomycetes.
CAACCCUCAGAACCCCUCUCUUACGGGAGGGCGUUACUGGUGUUGGGGAACGAGCGUCCACCGCGGCGCCCGUCCCUUAAAUCUAUUGGCGGCUCCGGAGUCUGUCUCCCCUGCGUAGUAUUGCAUCUCGCUUUGGUGACUUCUUCGGGCUGCUGCGGCCUCUGGCUGCGAAACCCCCACUA